This 244-nucleotide ribosomal RNA is filed under the name uncultured bacterium. RNAcentral describes it as "partial 16S ribosomal RNA". It matches the Rfam family "Bacterial small subunit ribosomal RNA", at positions 533 to 776 of the family's 1533-position model. The record is from RNAcentral.
UGCGAGCGUUAAUCGGAAUUACUGGGCGUAAAGCGCACGUAGGCGGCUUCUUAAGUCGGUGGUGAAAUCCUGGAGCUCAACUCCAGAACUGCCUUCGAUACUGGGAAGCUCGAGUCCGGGAGAGGUGAGUGGAACUGCGAGUGUAGAGGUGAAAUUCGUAGAUAUUCGCAAGAACACCAGUGGCGAAGGCGGCUCACUGGCCCGGUACUGACGCUGAGGUGCGAAAGCGUGGGGAGCAAACAGG